RNAcentral lists this ribosomal RNA (481 nucleotides) under uncultured bacterium. RNAcentral's name for it is "partial 16S ribosomal RNA". It matches the Rfam family "Bacterial small subunit ribosomal RNA", at positions 28 to 507 of the family's 1533-position model. The record is from RNAcentral.
GAUGAACGCUGGCGGCGUGCUUAACACAUGCAAGUCGAACGAAGCACUUUAUUUGAUUUCCUUCGGGACUGAUUAUUUUGUGACUGAGUGGCGGACGGGUGAGUAACGCGUGGGUAACCUGCCUUGUACAGGGGGAUAACAGUUGGAAACGGCUGCUAAUACCGCAUAAGCGCACAGCAUCGCAUGAUGCAGUGGGAAAAACUCGGGUGGUUUAAGAUGGAGCCGCGUUGGAUUAGCUAGGUGGUGAGGUAACGGCCCACCAAGGCGAGGAUCCAUAGCCGAGCUGAGAGGGUGAGCGGCCACAUUGGGACUGAGACACGGCCCGAACUCCUACGGGAGGCAGCAGUGGGGAAUAUUGCACAAUGGGCGAAAGCCUGAAGCAGCGACGCCGCGUGAGCGAAGAAGUAUUUCGGUAUGUAAAGCUCUAUCAGCAGGGAAGAUAAUGACGGUACCUGACGAAGAAGCACCGGCUAAAUACGUG